GCGGGGCUCCAGGGCCGGGGAAGGAGCCUGGCGUCCGCCGACCGCCCUGAUUUUUAGUCUGGUUUAGAGGACGUCGCAGGCUAAGCAGACCGAGUUUCCGGAGCCGUAGAAAGGGAUUCUCCAAGAAAAUGAGGACAGAUUACUGCUGCUCUCAGUCUUGAUCAGAGUCGCUUCGGUCUACGGUGAGCAACAGGAAAAUUUUAGAGACUAACGCAUGCUCAGUCUGGGACACCCACAUCAUCCCCUCAGGCUCAAGGAACAUUCCAGAAGAAGGAAUAAAAAGAACAUUGAGUCGGAGGAUGGGAAAUACUGUGAAAUGCUGUCUUCUGAACGUGGCGUGGCUGACACACCUGUGAACUCAUGGCAGCAGUGACUACCCACACAUACAUGACCGGCCAUCAGCAUUCCAUCAUGGAUGAGGGAGGGGCUCAUAAAGGCUUCGGUCGUCCCUGAGGAGCUAUAGGCAGUUUAUUGCUGGGGGACAGGGUUCACACUCUUGUGGUGCUGAUGGACAUCUAGGUUGCUUCCAUUUCUUAGCAAUUGUGAAUUAAACAGCCAUGAAAAUGAAUGCACAAGAAGUUCUAUGAAGAUCUUUGCAAAUAUGCUGAGUGUUACAGCUGGAUUGUGCGGUGGCUCUAUUUCCAGUCAUUUGAGGGGCCGCCAUGCUUACUUACAUAUUGGCUACACCAGUUUGCAUGCCCACCAACAGUAAUUGUUCCCCUUUUUCCACACCCACAGUCUUGGUUGUCAUUUAUUUUUGCUUUGCUGGGUGUUUUGUUUGUUUGCUUUUUUUUUUUAUCUUAGUCAUUCUGUGAGAAAAUGAAAUCUCAAAGGAGUUUUAAUUUGUAUUUCCCUGAUGGCUAGGAAUACUGAACAUUAAGGAAAGUUAGUUAUUUUAUUUAUUUUUGAGAGCUCUUUUUAGAUUCAUACCCCAAGUUUUAAUCGGGUUGUUUUCUUGGUGUUUAGGGUGGUGGUGGUAUAUCUGCAGCACAGCCGCUGCCUCAGCUGUGCCGCCUCCACAUAGGGAGACAAAUGUUUUAACUAAGCCUCUCUCCUUCUAUUUUACCAAUAAAGACUUGAGAGUCAAA
Long non-coding RNA from Myodes glareolus (Bank vole), 1088 nucleotides. RefSeq lists it as uncharacterized. NCBI's taxonomy places the organism in Eukaryota, Metazoa, Chordata, Mammalia, Rodentia, Cricetidae. The record is from RefSeq and is a predicted model, not a curated record.